This 513-nucleotide ribosomal RNA is filed under the name uncultured bacterium. RNAcentral describes it as "partial 16S ribosomal RNA". It matches the Rfam family "Bacterial small subunit ribosomal RNA", at positions 28 to 507 of the family's 1533-position model. The record is from RNAcentral.
GACGAACGCUGGCGGCGUGCUUAACACAUGCAAGUCGAACGAGAGCGUAGAGAAAGCUUGCUUUUUCUACAAUCUAGUGGCAAACGGGUGAGUAACGCGUAAACAACCUGCCCUACGGAUGGGGACAACAGCUGGAAACGGCUGCUAAUACCGAAUACGUUCCGAAAGUCGCAUGACUAUCGGAAGAAUGGAUGGCCUCUAUUUAUAAGCUAUCGCCGGAGGAGGGGUUUGCGUCUGAUUAGCUAGGUGGAGGGGUAACGGCCCACCAAGGCGACGAUCAGUAGCCGGUCGGGGAGGAGGAACGGCGACCUUGGAGCUGAGACGCGGUCCAGACGCCUACGGGAGGCAGCAGUGGGGAAUCUUCCGCAAUGGGCGAAAGCCUGACGGAGCAACGCCGCGUGAGUGAAGACGGCCUUCGGGUUGUAAAGCUCUGUUAUACGGGACGAAUAAUCUUGUGGUUAAUACCCAUGAGAAGUGACGGUACCGAAAGAGAAAGCCACGGCUAACUACGUG